GGGUCGGUAGCUCAGCCGGUAGAGCAGCGGACUUUUAAUCCGUUGGUCGUGGGUUCGAAUCCCACCCAACCCACCA
This 76-nucleotide transfer RNA is filed under the name Rhodocyclaceae bacterium. Its description in RNAcentral is "tRNA-Lys". It matches the Rfam family "tRNA". From Rfam's summary of the family: Transfer RNA (tRNA) molecules are approximately 80 nucleotides in length. The record is from RNAcentral. Lineage: Bacteria; Pseudomonadati; Pseudomonadota; Betaproteobacteria; Rhodocyclales; Rhodocyclaceae. RNAcentral also lists the same sequence under 1 other name.